This 446-nucleotide ribosomal RNA is filed under the name Amphithalamus fulcira. RNAcentral describes it as "partial 16S rRNA". It matches the Rfam family "Bacterial large subunit ribosomal RNA", at positions 1825 to 2561 of the family's 2925-position model. Lineage: Eukaryota; Metazoa; Mollusca; Gastropoda; Littorinimorpha; Barleeiidae. The record is from RNAcentral.
GUCUCCUUGAUUAAGAGUAUAGGGAGUCGUACCUGCUCGGUGAAUUUUUAACAGCCGCGGUAUCUUGACUGUGCAAAGGUAGCAUAAUCAUUUGCCUUAUAAUUGAAGGCUGGUAUGAAUGGUUUGACAAAAGCAAAACUGUCUCUUUUUAAUUUCUUAGAAUUUAGUUUUUAGAUUAAAAAAUCUAAAUUUUAUUGAUAGACAAGAAGACCCUGUUGAGCUUUAAAAUUAAUAUAUUAAUUUUUAUUUAAUGUAAGAUUUUGAUUGGGGUGAUUAAGGAACAAAAAAAGCUUUCUUUGAUUGUUUUUAUUUAUAAAUUUUGAUCCGAUUAACGAUUAAAAGAAUUAGUUACCACAGGGAUAACAGCAUUAUUUUUUCUGAGAGUUCUUAUCGAAGAAAAAGUUUGUGACCUCCGAUGUUGGAUAAGGUUCCGUAAGAUGCAGAAG